AUGGUUGAAUUAUUUUUUGUGUGUACACCGAAAACUGUAGGGGCUACUUACCUGACACUAAAUAUUUGCAACCCACCUAAAUAUUUAAGCAAUUUUACGUGUCUUCCAAUAAACCUGCACAACAUGAUUGCACAUCGUUCGGGCAGAUUUCUCCUCCAUUGUCAUGAUGAUUUGGCAGCAUGUUUGGAGAGAAAAAAUGACAGGAUCUUCGAUCUGAAGGCAGUGAACUUAAUGGCAAUCUGUGAUCGCAUCUCAGAGGAGAUAUACACAUACACUUGCAUUUGGCUAAGUCUGAAAGAUGGAAACCAGGGUGCAAGUCUGUGGGCAGUGGGUCGGGCACACGACCACCAGCUGCUACUACUUGUGGACUGCUUUAGUAGCCGCAUGUUCCCGAUAUGA
This 399-nucleotide ribosomal RNA is filed under the name Triticum aestivum (bread wheat). RNAcentral's name for it is "partial small subunit ribosomal RNA". Lineage: Eukaryota; Viridiplantae; Streptophyta; Magnoliopsida; Poales; Poaceae. The record is from RNAcentral.